UACGUAAGGGGCAAGCGUUGUCCGGAAUCAUUGGGCGUAAAGAGCGCGUAGGCGGCCCAGUAAGUCCGCUCUGAAAGUCAGGGGCUCAACCCCUGAAUGCGGGUGGAUACUGCUGGGCUAGAGUCCGGAAGAGGCGAGUGGAAUUCCUGGUGUAGCGGUGAAAUGCGCAGAUAUCAGGAAGAACACCUAUGGCGAAGGCAGCUCUCUGGGACGGUACUGACGCUGAGACGCGAAAGCGUGGGGAGCGAACAGG
RNAcentral lists this ribosomal RNA (253 nucleotides) under uncultured bacterium. RNAcentral describes it as "partial 16S ribosomal RNA". It matches the Rfam family "Bacterial small subunit ribosomal RNA", at positions 524 to 776 of the family's 1533-position model. The record is from RNAcentral.